This is an RNA transcript of Lagenorhynchus albirostris (white-beaked dolphin), 5386 nucleotides long. It is a transcript of the gene named protein kinase AMP-activated non-catalytic subunit beta 1, with no coding region annotated. NCBI's taxonomy places the organism in Eukaryota, Metazoa, Chordata, Mammalia, Artiodactyla, Delphinidae. The record is from RefSeq and is a predicted model, not a curated record. The transcript is spliced from 10 exons.
GGCGUGAAAGCUAGCGCAUUAAAGGGCUUUAAGGAGUCUUAAUUAGAUUUGCCCUUUAGAACGACCCCUUUGGCUGUAAAGUGUAGAAUCAACUGGAAGUGGGCAAAAGUAACCGAGAUAACUAACACCAUAGCUCAUCCCAGCGCGGGGAGGGCGGCCCAGAUGGCCUGCGCGCUUCUGCGUCCCCUGCUGGCCCUCAGCAGCCACGUCCUGGACCGGCCGGAGCGGCCAACUGCGACUGCGCCCUCCGGAGCCCGCCGGGACCAUCUGGGUGCUUGCCAACGCGCUGACCUGGACCGGAAGCGGAAGUGAGGUCAAGUUCGCCUCGCGCGCUUCUCCCGCCGCAACCACUCCCAACCCUGUGGGUUGGGUCGCUUUGCGCAAGUGUCGGAAGCGGAAGUUGUUAAGACGUGGGGGAGUUCUUGGGAGAGGGUCGAGCUUUCUUAGCGCUCGGUGUGUUCGGUCUGUGGCGGCCUGAGCAGCAGGUAAAGCGCAUUUGUGAGACCUCGGCAGCCCUGCUACCCGGCCCAAGCCGGAUCCCGACCCCGUAUCCUAGCCUGAGGGGUGUGGUGCCCGGUGCUCCGACUCCUUCCUAGGGUCCUGGUGGAGGUACCGGGAGUCACUUGUUCCUCCCUUGGAGUGAGGCCCCCUGUCCGGCUACCUCCGCCAUGGGCAACACGAGCAGCGAGCGCGCUGCGCUGGACCGGCAGGGCGGCCACAAGACGCCCCGAGGGGACAGCUCGGGGGGCUCCAAGGAUGGGGACAGGCCCAAGAUCCUGAUGGACAGCCCCGAGGACGCUGACCUCUUCCACUCCGAGGAAAUCAAGGCUCCGGAGAAGGAGGAGUUCCUGGCCUGGCAGCACGAUCUGGAAGUGAACGACAAAGCUCCUGCCCAGGCUCGGCCAACUGUGUUUCGAUGGACGGGGGGCGGAAAGGAAGUUUACUUAUCUGGGUCCUUCAACAAUUGGAGUAAACUUCCCCUCACGAGAAGCCACAAUAACUUUGUAGCCAUCCUGGACCUGCCGGAAGGAGAGCAUCAGUACAAGUUCUUCGUGGAUGGUCAGUGGACACACGACCCUUCUGAGCCGAUAGUGACCAGCCAGCUUGGCACAGUAAACAACAUCAUUCAAGUGAAGAAAACUGACUUUGAAGUAUUUGAUGCUUUAAUGGUGGAUUCCCAAAAGUGCUCCGACGUGUCUGAGCUGUCCAGUUCCCCACCAGGACCCUACCAUCAGGAGCCUUACGUCUGGAAACCAGAGGAGCGGUUUAAAGCACCACCCAUCCUCCCGCCACAUCUUCUCCAGGUCAUCCUGAACAAGGACACAGGGAUUUCUUGUGAUCCAGCUUUGCUCCCUGAGCCCAACCACGUCAUGCUGAACCACCUCUAUGCACUUUCCAUUAAGGAAGCCCAGACUGGGGUGUGCAGGAGCACGAGGCCUCGCCUUCCUGCCGUGAGCCGAGCUUGCGGAACUCACCGCAGAGUCCCCAACACUACCAGCAGGGGUGCCAACAGUGAACUGCGGAUGGCAGCAGGAGAGUGCAAUCCAGAAAACUGGCCCCUGGAACCGGCUGGCCUGCUGAGGAGACACGAUGCUCUGGAGCCUCCCCGUGCACUUGGGGGGGCCCCUAGUCUUCGGCACAUCCCUCCAUCUUCUCAGUUGCUAACCUAAAAAUUACACAGGUAAUAAAUACAUGCACGUGAUUUAAAAAUUUUGAAAGGUUUGGAGUUCUUCUAGAAGGUAACCACUGUUACCAGUUCGGUGUAGCCUUCCAGAGAAACUGUUGAUGUAUAUGUGUUUGAAAAAGUAAGGCAUCAAACCUUUUGAAUAGCAUGUUAUCACCUGUGUUUAAGAAGGGUGACUACACAUCUGUAUUUGUUUGUAUGCGGAGAGGCUCUCUAGAAACUGCGCGCUGGCUGCCUCCGGAAAGGGAACGCCAUAGCCCUGGCAGCUGUUACGGUUUGAGGCGCACACAUUAUCCAUCUGUGCAGCAGGAAGCCCCUUCUUAAGACGUUCUCUUCCUAAGCUUAAGUCCCGCAGACUCCGAAGUACAGUAGCGGCGCCCCUUCCCUACAACAGUGGCCCCUCGGGGAUGAGGAGGGCACCUCACUCACCUUGUUGACCUGGGACAGCGGGGUCCUCACGGCUCCCACGGGCAGCCGGCCCCUGCUGCCGUCCUCAAACAGCCUCCCGGGGGAGCGCUCCCUGCGCGUGCUGAGCAUCCGGCCGGGGGACUUCUCCCGCUCCAGGGGGCGGCCCGGAGACUUGUCCCUGCGCAGCUCCGUCCGCCCCUCGCGGUAGCGGUGGGGCGUGCCGGGCUCUCGCGGGUGGCUGGGGCCUUCAGGGGGCGCCGGGCUGGAGGCCACGCGCUUAGUGAUGUGCUCGUUGUACGUCGGCGGGCCUCGCUUGUUGGGGCUGCGAUAAUGGGAGAGGAAGGUGGGGAGCUGAGCCGUCACAACCCAACGGGGCAGCUUCCUCCUCCUCUGAGCCACCCUGUGCCCCCAUCUCACCACGCGUUAUUAGAAAAAGACCCCACCGGGAAUUCUUCGAGACGCUUAUAUCGACAGUGAGGCCAGGGAAAGAAGGCAGCGGUGACAGCAGAGGGGAAUCAGGCUUCCCGGUCUCGACACAGGCUUUCUGCUGAGCGCCCACAGCGUGUCGGGCCCUGUGCUAAGCUCUUCAGGUACCUUAACUCGCCGGAUCACCCUAACAGCAGCUCUGCAAGCUAGGAACGGCCGUGAGCCCGUCGCACAGACAAGCAGCUGGACACACAGAGAGGCUGCGAUCCCAGUGCAGGCCAGUGCGGCGUCGCACUCCCCACGUUCUAACCCCGCUGACCCUGGUAUUUUCCAGAGCCUAGAGGGCGCAGAAGGAAGUCUUCCGUGAGGGGUUAAGCCUGUACUCAUCGCUGUCAAGCUGCCAAAGCUGCCCCACUCCUGGGCCUUUGUUGGGUCACCUCUCCUUCCAAGUGGCUUUCCAGGAGUCUUUGGGGCAUCCGACACCAGAGGUGUAGGGAUCGGGCCUGAUAUAAUUAGGAGACUGAGGAGGGCAGACGAAAACAGUAGAGCUGGCUCAGAAAAUGUCUGAACAAUUCGUAUGACCACUCUAACCCUCCACCCAGCCCUGGGUAUGUCAGAUGACGAUCUGACCAGACACGGCCCUAACCACCUCUCUGAAGCAGCAAGAUCCAGAAACACAGGCAGACAGGACUGACACAGCCUUCGGCGUCGGUUCCUUCCCACCCCUGACGAGCAGCCAAGCUCAAAAUGUGGAAAUUCCAACGACCCACGCUCAGAAAGCCAGAACUUUCUUGUGUGUGCAGCAGUAAAAUUUGAGAUAAACCUUGAUUUCAAGGUGUCGAAAUCUGAGCUAUCUUCAUCUCUUGUCCUGUGGCUUUGUGAUAUAGAAGACAAAAAAAGAAAUUUCCAGUAAGAGUAUCUGGUUUGUAAUGGAAGAGAAAUUAUAAAGCGUGUCAGGGGCCCAUCGUAAAGCAAGCUCACUGCCCAGAGGAAGAAAAGUGGCUCAAGGAAGGCCAUUCGAGAAGUCAGCCUAGGUUGAUGGGAUAAAGGAAAACACUCGUCAUUCUGGGCGGAGCAGGCCAUUUUCCAUCUCCAAAUCCCUUAAUAACCAAUGCUCUACUUGCAAAGAGUUACAUUUCCUGCUCUGCUAAACAGACCUGGGGGCAGUGCAGCCUGCAGUGAAUCACAUUCUCCCAAGCUGGCCUUCUCCAUUCUGGACCUGCCCAAAGCAGACAGCAGCAAAAAGACGGUUUUAUAAGCCGAGAGGCAACUAAAGGAAACUGCUGGUUCUCCAGACAUGCCCGGCAGCAGCAGGAACAGCAGCAGCAUUAUUUCUGCCCCUUGUUCACAGGAACUAGAACCAUUUUCCACGACAGAGGAAGUUAACUCCUUACAGAGACACCAUAUCAUCUCAAAAGGAAGGUGCCUGGCCAUCUAACUAACUAACUAGUGAGGCAGUGGAGAAAAGAAGAAAAAUCUAAUUACAGUACUUGGGUUGGCUCUUGGCAUGACUGACUUGGAAACUAAAUAAAAUCUAGACAUUGUCAGGAGAGGACUACAGCCCUUUGAGCAGUCUCUCCUGAGGCACGAUCAAGCCACAACGAGUGAGAAGCAGCUGCUUAUUCAGCACUUCUGGUUUUCCAGCAAGUUCCUGGGACUAAAAUCACACUGACCAAACAUUUCUGACCAACAGUUACAUUUCAACAAAAGAAACAGACACUAGUCGUCAGGACAUAGUCUCAGAACAUUAAAUUGACGACUCUCUUUUCUAAGAUCUAAGCAGCAUUUCAUAACAUUAAAGGUGGUUCCUCCACCAAACUGAGUCCCUUGAGAAUAAAAACCAUCUUGUCUUCAGCUGUGUAGCCCCAGGCAUUGUGUCUGGCACAUGGUAGGGGGUCCACAUAACUCUCUAUAAUAGGGUAGACAUGUGGGGUUUGUAAACCAGUCCACAAAAUUAAAACCCUAGGUCAAUUCCCCUGGGUUAAAUAAGCUUAUCUCCUUUGUGGACCAGGAUCUUAAAAUUACACAUCUCAAACCUACACAUCGAACCGAAUCUGGCUCCGAGCCCUGGGUGUCAAGACAAAGCCAGUUCCACUUCCACACACUGCUGGUGGGAUAACUAAAGGGUACAGCCCCUAAGGAGGAAAACUCACCAACAUCUAUCAAAACUACCAACGCCCAUCAAUUUCUUUUCUAGGAAUUCAUCCUCCAGGUAGAUUCCUAAGCAUGCAAAAUGAAUGUACAAAGUCAUUUACUACAGCAACAGACUGGAAACAACCCAAACAUCCAGUGAUAAAGGAGCAGUUAAAUAAGGUACAGGCAGGUGAACGAAUGCUAUGCAGGUGUAAAAAAAAAAAAGAAUGAAGAAAUACUUCGGAUACUGACGUGGAGCAAUCUCUCUCUAAGACACAGAAGAGUGUGCACAGUAUGCUAUCGCCUCAAGGACUCCCGAAAACCUGUUUCUCCAUAGAAACAACAAGAACACUGGCAAAAUUGUCAAAAUCAACUUUUUGGAACUCUGGAAAUUAACCAAAGUCUUGCAACAAUUCAGAGAGUGUUUAUGCAAGAAAAUGUGCAAUAUUCACCACCCCUGUCUCCCCAGAUCUGCAGUAGUUUUGAAAGCAACAGCCUUGUAACCAGCUGUGAAAACCAGCACCCUGGUGACCACUGGAGGGAGUACAUUAGGACUGGAGCUUCCCAAAAGCCCCAGCCUUGGAGAACUGUCACUAUCUGACUUAUCUGGCUCCUCCCUGGAAAAAGACCAUCCUCAGGGCUUGUUUUUAAUUGAGCUGAUUCAGGUCUUCCUCUCUAGAAAUGCCCUAUCUCUAGACGUUUACCAAAAAAACAAAAAAAACAAAACAAAAACAA